GGUCACGAGCGCCAGCGCGAAGCCCCGGCUCGCUGGCCGGCAACCCCCUGUCACGGCGGGGUGCUCCGGGAGAUAACCAGGCCGAGCCCGGCCUGCCUCGCCACCGGCGAGGACGGCCCGCACGGCAAGCGUGAUCG
RNAcentral lists this non-coding RNA (137 nucleotides) under Cellulosimicrobium sp. Its description in RNAcentral is "SAM-IV sequence". The stretch from base 1 to 103 matches the Rfam family "SAM (S-adenosyl methionine) riboswitch aptamer". From Rfam's summary of the family: SAM-IV is a mRNA element that regulates gene expression via direct sensing of S-adenosylmethionine (SAM or AdoMet). SAM-IV riboswitches share conserved nucleotide positions with the previously described SAM-I riboswitches sequence analysis and molecular recognition experiments suggest that SAM-I and SAM-IV riboswitches share similar ligand binding sites, but have different scaffolds. Lineage: Bacteria; Bacillati; Actinomycetota; Actinomycetes; Micrococcales; Promicromonosporaceae. The record is from RNAcentral.